GACAGAGGGGGCAAGCGUUGCUCGGAAUCACUGGGCGUAAAGGGCGCGUAGGCGGGAUGGCAAGUCGGUCGUGAAAUCCUUCGGCUCAACCGAAGAACGUCGGCCGAUACUGCCGUUCUUGAGGGAUGCAGAGGAGAUUGGAAUUCCCGGUGUAGCGGUGAAAUGUGUAGAGAUCGGGAGGAACACCGGUGGCGAAGGCGGGUCUCUGGGCCGAAACUGACGCUGAGGAGCGAAAGCGUGGGGAGCAAACAGG
Molecule: ribosomal RNA, 253 nt
Filed under: uncultured bacterium
Lineage: Bacteria
Description: partial 16S ribosomal RNA
Rfam family: Bacterial small subunit ribosomal RNA
Source: RNAcentral